GAUGAACGCUGGCGGCGUGCCUAAUACAUGCAAGUCGAGCGAACAGACGAGGAGCUUGCUCCUCUGACGUUAGCGGCGGACGGGUGAGUAACACGUGGAUAACCUACCUAUAAGACUGGGAUAACUUCGGGAAACCGGAGCUAAUACCGGAUAAUAUAUUGAACCGCAUGGUUCAAUAGUGAAAGACGGUUUUGCUGUCACUUAUAGAUGGAUCCGCGCCGCAUUAGCUAGUUGGUAAGGUAACGGCUUACCAAGGCAACGAUGCGUAGCCGACCUGAGAGGGUGAUAGGCCACACUGGAACUGAGACACGGUCCAGACUCCUACGGGAGGCAGCAGUAGGGAAUCUGACGCAAUGGGCGAAAGCCUGACGGAGCAACGCCGCGUGAGUGAUGAAGGUCUUCGGAUCGUAAAACUCUGUUAUUAGGGAAGAACAAAUGUGUAAGUAACUAUGCACGUCUUGACGGUACCUAAUCAGAAAGCCACGGCUAACUACGUG
Molecule: ribosomal RNA, 497 nt
Filed under: uncultured bacterium
Lineage: Bacteria
Description: partial 16S ribosomal RNA
Rfam family: Bacterial small subunit ribosomal RNA
Source: RNAcentral